GCGCCUGUAGCUCAUUUGGAUAGAGCGGGGCUCUCCUAAGGCCCGUCUUGGGGUGGUUCGAAUCCACCCAGGCGCA
RNAcentral lists this transfer RNA (76 nucleotides) under Candidatus Omnitrophota bacterium. RNAcentral's name for it is "Candidatus Omnitrophica bacterium (aquatic metagenome) tRNA-Arg". It matches the Rfam family "tRNA". From Rfam's summary of the family: Transfer RNA (tRNA) molecules are approximately 80 nucleotides in length. Their secondary structure includes four short double-helical elements and three loops (D, anti-codon, and T loops). Further hydrogen bonds mediate the characteristic L-shaped molecular structure. tRNAs have two regions of fundamental functional importance: the anti-codon, which is responsible for specific mRNA codon recognition, and the 3' end, to which the tRNAs corresponding amino acid is attached (by aminoacyl-tRNA synthetases). tRNAs cope with the degeneracy of the genetic code in two manners: having more than one tRNA (with a specific anti-codon) for a particular amino acid; and 'wobble' base-pairing, i.e. permitting non-standard base-pairing at the 3rd anti-codon position. Lineage: Bacteria; Pseudomonadati; Candidatus Omnitrophota. The record is from RNAcentral.